RNAcentral lists this ribosomal RNA (650 nucleotides) under Incoltorrida madagassica. RNAcentral describes it as "eukaryotic LSU rRNA". It matches the Rfam family "Eukaryotic large subunit ribosomal RNA", at positions 663 to 1225 of the family's 3401-position model. Lineage: Eukaryota; Metazoa; Arthropoda; Insecta; Coleoptera; Torridincolidae. The record is from RNAcentral.
GGACCAAGGAGUCUAGCAUGUACGCGAGUCAUUGGGAUUUUUUUAAACCCACAGGCGUAAUGAAAGUAAAAGUACGGCGAACUUCGGUUCAGCCGGCUUAGGGAAGAUGUCUGUACGGCGCGGCAUUUUCGGAUGUCGCGUUUGUCGGUCCGCAUUCCUGGCGCGUCUCGUGCCCGCUGCGGUGCUUGCACCGCAACGUGCUGAGGCGCAGCUAGAGCGUACACGCUGGGACCCGAAAGAUGGUGAACUAUGCCUGGUCAGGACGAAGUCAGGGGAAACCCUGAUGGAGGUCCGUAGCGAUUCUGACGUGCAAAUCGAUCGUAAGAACUGGGUAUAGGGGCGAAAGACUAAUCGAACCAUCUAGUAGCUGGUUCCCUCCGAAGUUUCCCUCAGGAUAGCUGGCACUCGUUCAAUGGACGAGUCUCAUCCGGUAAAGCGAAUGAUUAGAGGCAUUGGGGUCGAAACGACCUCAACCUAUUCUCAAACUUUAAAUGGGUGAGAUCUCCAGCUUGCUUAAGCGAAGCUGUGAGAUUCACGGAUCAGAGUGCCAAGUGGGCCAUUUUUGGUAAGCAGAACUGGCGCUGCGGGAUGAACCGAACGUAGAGUUAAAGCGCCUAAAUAGACGCUCAUGGGAUACCAUGAAAGGCGUU